Molecule: ribosomal RNA, 301 nt
Filed under: uncultured bacterium
Lineage: Bacteria
Description: partial 16S ribosomal RNA
Rfam family: Bacterial small subunit ribosomal RNA
Source: RNAcentral
CAGUCGCCGCGGGAAUACAGAGGGUGCAAGCGUUAAUCGGAAUUACUGGGCGUAAAGCGCGCGUUGGUGGUUUGUUAAGUUGGAUGUGAAAUCCCCGGGCUCAACCUGGGAACUGCAUCCAAAACUGGCAAGCUAGAGUAUGGUAGAGGGUGGUGGAAUUUCCUGUGUAGCGGUGAAAUGCGUAGAUAUAGGAAGGAACACCAGUGGCGAAGGCGACCACCUGGACUGAUACUGACACUGAGGUGCGAAAGCGUGGGGAGCAAACAGGAUUAGAUACCCCGGUAGUCCCUGUCUCUUAUAC